CAGGUAGGUGGUCUCAUUUGUCUGGGGUGAAAGCCUUGGGCUUAACCCAAGAAGUGCCUCGGAAACGGUGAGACUAGAGUACUGGAGAGGGUCGUGGAAUUCCCGGUGUAGCGGUGAAAUGCGUAGAGAUCGGGAGGAACACCAGCGGCGAAGGCGGCGACCUGGACAGUUACUGACACUCAACUGCGAAAGCGUGGGGAGAACA
This 205-nucleotide ribosomal RNA is filed under the name uncultured bacterium. RNAcentral's name for it is "partial 16S ribosomal RNA". It matches the Rfam family "Bacterial small subunit ribosomal RNA", at positions 568 to 772 of the family's 1533-position model. The record is from RNAcentral.